AGCAGAGAGCUUGUUUCUUCUAUGAUCCCAGUGAUCUCCUGUCUGGCAUCCAGGCAGCCUGAAGGAGAAAACCAUCUGAUUCAAAUGCUGAGGAGAGAAAAGGCAGACCAGAAGGGAAGGAGAGGAAUAGAUUGGAACAAGGAGCCUGGAAUCUUUCUCAAAUGAACUAUUUGUAGCUGGCCCUUUAAAUCCGAGAGAGAAAACCAGCCACAGCCUUCAGGUGGCCAUUUUGCAUCUAACUGCAGGCUGCAUUCUUUGCCCACUGAGGGCUAGGGUGCAAAGGAGUAGAAUAUCCAUGUGAAUGGGAACAAAGAGAUGAGGUGUGGGAACAUACCUACAAAACCAGAGACUGGGUAGGUUGGACUGGCAAAGGAAGCUUGCGGAAGGAGACAGGAACUAAUGGACUAGCCAGAGGGGGACGAAGUUGACUGCAGAGAUCACUGAGACUGCUUGAUUAAGAAAAAAAGCCAUCUUCAGGAGAGGAAGGAUCCAGGACUCCUGAAAAGACAAGGUCCCAAAUCCCAAAGAAAGUUCAAGAAUGAGUCUAGGUGGACCUGAUCUGGAAUGAAUCACCAUUGUGUAGUGAAGGAUCCUGUUGUCUGUACGACCUCUGACGCACAUUUGUCAUAGAAGUCGGAAGUGAAAUGACAGGAAUGAAGAAAAACCUACGUAGAGACCUGAAAAUAGCAGAAGUCAUUGGGAAGAAUAGUAUGAGAAGCAGGAUUCAUGGCCUCAACAGUGCGCCCUCUUCCUAUGAUGUGGUGGCAGCUGCAAGGAUACUAAAGAAAACAGCCUUCUAAUUUAAACAAGAGGCGGGUUGCUUUCAGUGAAGAGUCUGCUCUUCUGAAAUUUAUUACACACUCUCCCCAACAGAACCUGACUUUGUCGACGUUUAAGGCAUGCGGUAUUGUUUAGGCUUUCCCCACAAGGGUGGUUUGUAUGGAAGAACUACAGUUGAGGUAUAUUGGGAGCCUCUUUUAGGAAUAUUAAGGCAUUUAAAUUUUUAUAAAAAUGUUUAUUUAAAAAACACACAAUCAAUCAAUUUGCCAAUAGAGAAAUAAUUAAGGAACUGUUUACAGAACAAACUCUAAAAAACACAGGAAUUCACAAAUGUUGCAGUAUUAAUUUGGGCAUUCCCAAUUCUAUUGGUCAAUACCUCCCAUUCAAACUGCAGGACAAUUAGGAGGAACAUAAUGUCUAAAAAUGCAUUUAAAGAAUUUUUCAGUAAACUUGAUUGGAAUGUAUCUACUGUCAGUAUAAACUUGGUAGUUUUAUACUUUGAGGUGCAUUACAAUUACCAUGCAAAUCAGACACAACUAAUACUGUACUCUGACCACUUAUGCAAUUGGCAGCCAGCUGUGAGCCACAUGUUUGAUUGCUAAUGAUGAUUAAAGCUGGACAAAUUAUUUGAAACACAUUACAUUAUUCAACAACUGGAGUUUUUUAAAACUAUCUAUAAAGAGAUUUUGAUUUUUACAAAUCUAUUCCCUGUUCACUUGCUUGAGGUACACUUUAACAUAGUUCAGCCUUUGGAUUGCUUGCAAGUUGUCCAUUUUGACUGCAGUUUAGACUAUUCAUUAUUUGUUUUGUGUGAUAGUCCAGUGGUAUUAUUCUUGCUUCCUGCUUGGAUGACCAAAACUUUUCUAAACAGGAAGAAAACAAAAAUUUCAUAAGGGCUUCAUAAACAUUUACAGCACAACCACAG
Molecule: long non-coding RNA, 1705 nt
Organism: Mauremys reevesii (Reeves's turtle)
Lineage: Eukaryota; Metazoa; Chordata; Testudines; Geoemydidae
Exons: 5
Source: RefSeq, a predicted model, not a curated record